GACGGAGGGUGCUAGCGUUGUUCGGAAUGACUGGGCGUAAAGGGCGCGUAGGCGGCUCGUGAAGUCGGGUGUGAAAGCCCGGGGCUCAACCCCGGAACGGCAUCCGAUACUGGCGGGCUUGAGACCGGGAGAGGAGGGUGGAAUACCCAGUGUAGAGGUGAGAUUCGUAGAUAUUGGGUGGAACACCGGUGGCGAAGGCGGCCAGCUGGACCUGUACUGACGCUCAUGCACGAAAGCGUGGGGAGCAAACAGG
This 253-nucleotide ribosomal RNA is filed under the name uncultured bacterium. RNAcentral describes it as "partial 16S ribosomal RNA". It matches the Rfam family "Bacterial small subunit ribosomal RNA", at positions 524 to 776 of the family's 1533-position model. The record is from RNAcentral.